CCGAAAUGAGGGGGAUAGCCUGCCUAACGGCUGGGUAAUACCGCAUACGCUCGAGGAGAGGCAUUUCAUCUCGAGGAAACCUCCGGGGCAUUUCGAGGGGCUCGCGGCCUAUCAGCUAGUUGGUGAGGUAACGGCUCACCAAGGCGACGACGGGUAGCUGGUCUGAGAGGAUGGCCAGCCACAUUGGGACUGAGAUACGGCCCAGACUCCUACGGGAGGCAGCAGUGGGGAAUCUUGCGCAAUGGCCUAACGGCUGACGCAGCGACGCCGCGUGAGGGAUGACGCUCUUCGGAGUGUAAACCUCUUUUGCCUGAGACGAAUUGUCAGCUUUAGCUGAUUUGACUGUAUCGGGUGAAUAAGCACCGGCUAACUCCGUGCCAGCAGCCGCGGUAAUACGGGGGGUGCGAGCGUUGUCCGGAAUCACUGGGCGUAAAGGGCGCGUAGGUGGCCUGAUAAGGGUGUGGUGAAAGUCCGGGGCUCAACCCCGGAUCUGCCGUGCCGACUGUCAGGCUGGAGUACUGUAGGGGCAGGCGGAAUUCCGGGUGUAGCGGUGGAAUGCGUAGAGAUCCGGAGGAAGACCGGUGGCGAAGGCGGCCUGCUGGGCAGUUACUGACACUGAGGCGCGACAGCGUGGGGAGCAAACAGGAUUAGAUACCCUGGUAGUCCACGCCGUAAACGAUGGGUACUAGGUGCCUGGGGGAGCGACCCCUUGGGUGCCGGCGCUAACGCAGGAAGUACCCCGCCUGGGGAGUACGGCCGCAAGGCUGAAACUCAAAGGAAUUGACGGAAUCGA
This 793-nucleotide ribosomal RNA is filed under the name uncultured bacterium. RNAcentral's name for it is "bacterial SSU rRNA". It matches the Rfam family "Bacterial small subunit ribosomal RNA", at positions 129 to 922 of the family's 1533-position model. The record is from RNAcentral.